UACCGCCUGCCCAGUGAACCCCCUUAAACGGCCGCGGUACUCUAACCGUGCAAAGGUAGCGUAAUCACUUGCCCCCUAAAUAGGGGCUAGUAUGAACGGCUAAAUGAGGGCCUAACUGUCUCCUGCGACAAGCCAAUGAAACUGCUCUCUCAGUACAAAAGCUGAGAUACACCCACAAGACGAGAAGACCCUGUGGAGCUUAUAAAUGCUACACUAACACCACCAAAAACCCCCCCCCCCAUAGUGCUAACUUUUAGUUGGGGCGACUACGGAGACAACCCAAACCUCCAUGAGACAAGGCCUCACUGCCUAAGGCACACAAGCCAAGGGUACUUAUAGCCUCUUGACCCAGCACCGCUGAACAACGGACCAAGUUACCCCAGGGAUAACAGCGCAAUCCUCCCCAAGAGUCCAUAUCGCCAGGAGGGUUUACGACCUCGAUGUUGGAUCAGGACACCCCGGCGGUGCAGCCGCUGCCAAAGGUUCGUUUGUUCAACGACUAACGUCCUACG
Molecule: ribosomal RNA, 512 nt
Filed under: Phyllodactylus reissii
Lineage: Eukaryota; Metazoa; Chordata; Lepidosauria; Squamata; Phyllodactylidae
Description: partial 16S ribosomal RNA
Rfam family: Bacterial large subunit ribosomal RNA
Source: RNAcentral